RNAcentral lists this ribosomal RNA (514 nucleotides) under uncultured microorganism. RNAcentral's name for it is "bacterial SSU rRNA". It matches the Rfam family "Bacterial small subunit ribosomal RNA", at positions 9 to 506 of the family's 1533-position model. The record is from RNAcentral.
GAGUUUGAUCCUGGCUCAGGAUGAACGCUGGCGGCGUGCCUAAUACAUGCAAGUCGAGCGAACGGACGAGAAGCUUGCUUCUCUGAUGUUAGCGGCGGACGGGUGAGUAACACGUGGAUAACCUACCUAUAAGACUGGGAUAACUUCGGGAAACCGGAGCUAAUACCGGAUAAUAUUUUGAACCGCAUGGUUCAAAAGCGAAAGACGGUCUUGCUGUCACUUAUAGAUGGAUCCGCGCUGCAUUAGCUAGUUGGUAAGGUAACGGCUUACCAAGGCAACGAUGCAUAGCCGACCUGAGAGGGUGAUCGGCCACACUGGAACUGAGACACGGUCCAGACUCCUACGGGAGGCAGCAGUAGGGAAUCUUCCGCAAUGGGCGAAAGCCUGACGGAGCAACGCCGCGUGAGUGAUGAAGGUCUUCGGAUCGUAAAACUCUGUUAUUAGGGAAGACAUAUGUGUAAGUAACUGUGCACAUCUUGACGGUACCUAAUCAGAAAGCCACGGCUAACUACGU